CGGAAUACCCCACCGAAAGGUGAGCUAAUACCGGAUACGUUUAUCUUGAUGCGAAUGAUGAUAAAGAAAGGUGGCCUCUUCUUGAAAGCUACUGUACAGGGACGAGCUUGCGUACCAUUAGCUAGUUGGUAGGGUAAUAGCCUACCAAGGCGACGAUGGUUAGCUGGUCUGAGAGGAUGGCCAGCCACACUGGAACUGAGACACGGUCCAGACUCCUACGGGAGGCAGCAGUGGGGAAUCUUGCGCAAUGGGGGAAACCUUGACGCAGCAACGCCGCGUGGGUGAUGAAGGCCUUCGGGUCGUAAAGCCCUGUCAGGUGGGAAGAAACGUAUCGGUGCUAAUACCACCGAUAUUUGACGGUACUACCGGAGGAAGCACCGGCUAACUCCGUGCCAGCAGCCGCGGUAAUACGGAGGGUGCAAGCGUUGUUCGGAAUUACUGGGCGUAAAGCGCGUGUAGGCGGUUGGGUAAGUCGGUUGUGAAAUCCUCUGGCUCAACCAGAGAAUGGCAGCCGAAACUGCACGUCUUGAGUCCAGCAGAGGGAAUCGGAAUCCUAGGUGUAGCGGUGAAAUGCGUAGAUAUCUAGGAGAACACCAGUGGCGAAGGCGGAUUCCUGGGCUGGUACUGACGCUGAGCUGCGAAAGCGUGGGGAGCGAACAAGAUUAGAUACCCUGGUAGUCCACGCCGUAAACGAUGGGUACUAGGUGUUGGAGGACAUUGACCCCUCCAGUGCCGUAGCUAACGCACUAAGUACCCCGCCUGGGGAGUACGACCGCAAGGUUGAAACUCAAAGGAAUUGACGG
Molecule: ribosomal RNA, 803 nt
Filed under: uncultured delta proteobacterium
Lineage: Bacteria; Deltaproteobacteria
Description: bacterial SSU rRNA
Rfam family: Bacterial small subunit ribosomal RNA
Source: RNAcentral